Molecule: long non-coding RNA, 225 nt
Filed under: Medicago truncatula (barrel medic)
Lineage: Eukaryota; Viridiplantae; Streptophyta; Magnoliopsida; Fabales; Fabaceae
Description: lncRNA gene19654
Source: RNAcentral
UUUCUUCCUGAUUUUUAAAUUUUAUUUGUUUAUUAUAAAUAAUGACGUGGAAAAUGUAUUACGUGGAAUCCAAAAAGAAUUGAAAAAAAAUGUCACGUUAGUGAUACAUCAAAGAUUUUGCUGAGUCACAGGGCAUAAGGGGCAAUCUUGAAGAAUCUUUAUUUUAUAAGGAUGACAUCUAAAAAAAAAUUUAUAGGGGAAAACCAGAAGUGCUCUAUAUUACAG